Long non-coding RNA from Ictalurus punctatus (channel catfish), 398 nucleotides. The record is from Ensembl. NCBI's taxonomy places the organism in Eukaryota, Metazoa, Chordata, Actinopteri, Siluriformes, Ictaluridae.
CACCCAUUCACACACACACAGUAGCAAAGCUGCCAUGUAAGGCACUAACUUGCCAUCAGGAGCAACUUGGGGCUCAGUGUCUUGCCCAAGGACACUUCAGCAUAUGGAGUCAUGUGGGCCGGGAAUCGAACCGCCAACACUACGAUUAGCGGACAACCCGCUCUACCACCCGAGCCACAGCCUCCCUAUACAAUGUUUUACAAUGUGUUCAGCAGCUAAUCAUCCACACAGUCACACCAUCUUUCUCACCUCGUUCACCAUGACGACUGCCUACGCCUCCAACGCCUUCACCCAUGUCCUGACACAACAGCACUUUCACUCUUAUCCCAGCUCUUGACGCAUAACAAACAAGUGAAAUUGUAUAAAGAUCAGCUUUACCAUUUAAAUGGAAAUUUCCU